Lathyrus oleraceus (garden pea) is the source of this 887-nucleotide long non-coding RNA. RefSeq lists it as uncharacterized. The record is from RefSeq and is a predicted model, not a curated record. The transcript is spliced from 3 exons. NCBI's taxonomy places the organism in Eukaryota, Viridiplantae, Streptophyta, Magnoliopsida, Fabales, Fabaceae.
GGUAGCGCUGGACAGAAUAAAGAAACCCAGCCCAAACCGACCAAACCAUGUGGCCCCUUAGACACCGGUUCGGGUGAGUCGGUUUUUCGGUUUGACGGUUUGAAUAAUCUUGGGUUCACAUGGGUUAAACCGGUCGGUUUAGGUUUGAAUUUAUGGACCCGAUGAUAUCCUAAACCGACCGGUUCAGUAGAAAUUAUGUUAUAGACCAUAAAUUCCUAAAUCAAUCGGCCGGCCCAACCAAAACCAAGACUCUCUCUCAGUCUCAAAUCUCAAUUCAUUAGUUCCACUUCUUCGUGAGAUUCAUACGCACAAACAACAACGUUACUCCGCUAGGGUUCAUCAUUCUCUCAGUUCGUGGUUUCAUCGUUUAACGAAGAACCGUCGCCGUCCAUUAUUCAACCACAAAUCACCACCGAUAUUGAUUUUGUGAAGGUGUUGUCGGUAAAUAUUGUUCCUACUCAGCUCGCCGACAACUUCCGGAAUAAGAAGCCUGAGGUUUUACUCUUGGCCGUUAUAAACUUCAUGUUAUCUAUAGCUACUAAUAACUAGCUGCUCAAAUAAAAAGUGAUUUUUAAAGCUAUAACUACUGCUAUGAAGAAUCAUUAGUUACUGCUAUGAAGAAAUAAUCAUUUUCUUACACAAGUUUGAAAUCACUUUUUUCAAGCAUUAACAAAUAGGCUCUUUAUCAUGCUAGUCUUGCAUCUGACAGAAAUAAGUUUAAGUUGUUAUAGAGGAAUAUUUGUUUUUAGAAUUAGUUAUUUGUGAUUGGGGCAAGUAUUUUUGAACUACUGUUUUUGCAGCCUCAUUGUUUCUGUUUUAUUUUCUAUUUAUUUUGUACUUUCUUGAUAUUUCAAUAUGAUUAUAAAACUAUUUCAUUGUUCAGUUGU